Molecule: long non-coding RNA, 2401 nt
Organism: Haemorhous mexicanus (house finch)
Lineage: Eukaryota; Metazoa; Chordata; Aves; Passeriformes; Fringillidae
Exons: 3
Source: RefSeq, a predicted model, not a curated record
GCACCCUGAAAACAGGCUUGUAUUUUUUGGUACCUAGGUGGCCCAGAAGAACUUGUCAGGAAGCAAGCACCAAAUAGGUGGUAAAAUAGGCAGAGCUAUGGGGGAAGGUCAGUUUCAUGCUCCCUGGGCUUCUCAGUGACCUCCAAGAACCAAGAAACACCAGAAGAGGAGACUGAAACUGCCUCUCUCUUGCUCAUUCUUCAGUGCCAGAUCACAUCAGGCUGUAAGAUACCUGAGGACUGUUUGCAGACUGCUGGAAGACAGAGACGGAAUCACCUAUUGGUAGCAGAACCUGUCAGUCGAAGUUUGUGUUCGAUUCAGUGCAAGUCAUCUGCCUGGUGGGCCUAUCUGAUACUUGGAUCAAAGCUGAAGUGCAGUCAGAAGGAAAGAAGGAAGUGUUCAGAAGAAUUGAAACAAGGCUGGAUUCUCAGAAACACGAAGACAAAUCCAUUUCCUCCAGGCUGAUGCAACUCUGAAGAUGCCAGUGCAGUAACAGAAAAAUAAAUUCAAUUUGCAGACUCCUGUCAUCCUCCGGAUUUUUGGAUCAGUCUCUCAGCCUCAUUCAUUGCUUCUGAGAAUGAACUUCUAAACACCUGCUGUGGUCGAAACUGUUCUUACAUCAUCUCCUGAACACAGUGACUUCAAUCACAUGAAAUCAUGAGGUUAAUGCCACAGUCGAGACUUCAAAGCUGUUUCUGCAGACCUGAGCUGAUUUUUCUUUGAAAAUGCUACACUAGCUGCUAGUUCUUAACCAACAGAAGAAUUACCAAAGUUGUCAGUGUUCUGCUUAUCAUGCAAUACAAGAAGAUGGGAAAAUUUUCAAGCAGAACUGCAGUCUGGGUUGGGGUGGCAGUACCGUAGGAUGAGUUCUCCACUUAAUCUCAGAUUAGUUGUGAUUUUUGUCUUUUUAUAUAAAAUGGAGUUGAAUAUCCUUGUUCUGUAUUACCUACUUGAACCAGAUGACCUUUAAAAGGUCCCUUCCAACUCAACCUAUUCUAUGAUUCUAUGAAAUCGUUAGUUGUGCUAGAAAAGGGAUUCUCACAAGAAGAAAGUUGAUUACAGGGCUCACUAAUGAGGGUAAGAGAUCAGGCUGCAAGGGGAACUAUCUUCAGAGAGACACUUUGAGCAAUCUUUCAGAAGGGGGGAGACACUGAUACAUAUCUAAAUGAGUCUGAUAGGUUAUGUGCAAGAGCAGAAAACUUUCCUCUGACCAGAAAGUUCCCUCUGGUUCUGUGUUUCUGAGUUGUAGGACAAUGAAAUUCUUAAAUGUUAAUUAUGUAAGUAGCAACUGCGAUUAUCUCUUGAUCAAUAAUACUAAUUAUAGACUGGAUUCAUUGGAUGUUGCUUGUGACUGAAUAAAACCAGAAGAACAGACAAAUCUCUUCUUGUAAAAUAAGACUUCCAAAGGAAAAGCAAGUUUAUCUAGGCUUGGCUUUCAGAGGAGGCUUCACCCAAUUCCUGUUCAUUUGGGUAGCACCAAUGGAAUUAAUCCAGAGUAACACAUUUUAUGGAGUUCCUGUGAAGGUGAGAUCAGAAUCAGGUCCACUGUAUCCAGGUAGGUCCAAAGUAUGCUAAUUGUCAAUACUAAGAUUCUAAAACUUUCUUGGAUAAACUGAAACAUAGCUUUUAUUUCCCAUAAAGCUUCAUGAAUGUACAACAUAGUUCCUGGAUAGACGUCACAGCAGCUCCACAGUUAUUAAUUUACGGAUUUCUCACUGACCUUAGCUCAGCUCUGGGAAUGGUGCCAGCACAAUUACAGUAACUCUGAAUAAAGAGACAUAAAGCUUCUGGAUCUACCCUGAAAUUAUGCCAGAAUUUUCUCUUCCUCAGUGAUGGAAAGACGCAUUUCUUCGAUUGGUUUCAAAUAGUUCAGACUGCGUUAGCCAAAAGUAGAUUAUUUCCAGCAAAAUAAGGAAAACAAGAAAAUUGCCAUGCAGAUGUGUGCAUACACAAUACAAUACAUGUGAUCCACAGAUAAUCUUUGGGAAGUUUGUCCGAAGAAGGUGUAUGUUGGGAAACUGAGUCAAGGUGAUUUGAGCUAGUUACCUGGGAAAAAAAAUGGCAGAGUUGGGAAUAAAAUUCCAGGGGCAGAUGCUUGAUUCAGUAUUGUUUUCACUGAAUCACACUGCCUUCCUGGAGCACAUCAAGGCCCAUUGACUUCCUUCCUGUGAAGAUGGGCAGCUGGAUUGCAAUGACAGCAGGUGGAGCUGAGUGUGAUCAUCACCUUGGAAAAUCAGGCCCCUGGUGAUUAUCCCUGGUGUUAAUUGACUGUCAGACCCUGCAAGAGGGGAGUCAACACAUUUCCUGACCUAUGGUCUAAGUGUUUUCCAAACCCUAGAGUAAAUUGAAUGUAGUUAUAGAGGAAAUGCUGAUGCAAUCCCACAUCCUCACAAAGGUGUGA